GCACGGGCUACAGAGCCAAUUAGGCUGGGAUGGCGGAGUACUAAGAAGAGGGACUGGAGUUUCUAAGCAAACAUGAGUUUUGGUGACGUUGGUACCUAUCACUGGAGGGAUCGCACCUUCGUAUCAGGAGAAAAGUAGAGAGGUGAAGUUACUACGUGAAGAAUUUGGCCAGAUUUCCAGCUCCUGCAUCCAUUAGCACAAGCAUUUCAUUCCAAGAAGCUGUCACCUGUCCAUACAUCCUAGAUGAAAUACCAGCAUCAUAUUAAGGGUAAUUAAAUUUUAUUUUCAAUAUCUUUUCUGAUUGCAUAAAUAAUUAUUUUUACUCCACAUCAAUUCCUUUUGUGUUUUGUUUUUUUCUUUCUCGCAUGGUGUUGGUUUUCAUCAAAACUCAUCUGUACGGUUGAGAAUUCCAACUAACUUGUCAGUAUCCAGCCUGGAAUGAAAGGUAAAAAUCAUAUGCCAAGGGCUUAUAGUUCACUUGCUUUCAGCUAAAGUGAGGUGAUGAGAAUAAUGUC
Odocoileus virginianus texanus is the source of this 515-nucleotide non-coding RNA. The record is from RefSeq and is a predicted model, not a curated record. NCBI's taxonomy places the organism in Eukaryota, Metazoa, Chordata, Mammalia, Artiodactyla, Cervidae.